This 427-nucleotide ribosomal RNA is filed under the name uncultured bacterium. RNAcentral's name for it is "partial 16S ribosomal RNA". It matches the Rfam family "Bacterial small subunit ribosomal RNA", at positions 354 to 796 of the family's 1533-position model. The record is from RNAcentral.
GUGGGGGAUAUUGCACAAUGGGGGAAACCCUGAUGCAGCGACGCCGCGUGAGGGAAGAAGGCCUUAGGGUCGUAAACCUCUGUUGUGUGGGAAGAAGAGCGUGACGGUACCACACGAGGAAGUCCCGGCUAACUACGUGCCAGCAGCCGCGGUAAUACGUAGGGGACGAGCGUUGUCCGGAAUUACUGGGCGUAAAGGGCGCGUAGGCGGUCAUUUAAGUCAGCUGUGAAAUGGUCCGGCUCAACCGGAUCAUGCGGUUGAAACUGGAUGACUGGAGUGCUGGAGAGGCAAGUGGAAUUCCCAGUGUAGCGGUGAAAUGCGUAGAUAUUGGGAAGAACACCGGUGGCGAAGGCGACUUGCUGGCCAGCAACUGACGCUGAGGCGCGAAAGCCAGGGGAGCAAACGGGAUUAGAUACCCGUGUAGUCC